RNAcentral lists this ribosomal RNA (497 nucleotides) under uncultured bacterium. RNAcentral describes it as "partial 16S ribosomal RNA". It matches the Rfam family "Bacterial small subunit ribosomal RNA", at positions 28 to 507 of the family's 1533-position model. The record is from RNAcentral.
GAUGAACGCUGGCGGCGUGCCUAAUACAUGCAAGUCGAGCGAACGGACGAGAAGCUUGCUUGUCUGAUGUUAGCGGCGGACGGGUGAGUAACACGUGGAUAACCUACCUAUAAGACUGGGAUAACUUCGGGAAACCGGAGCUAAUACCGGAUAAUAUUUUGAACCGCAUGGUUCAAAAGUGAAAGACGGUCUUGCUGUCACUUAUAGAUGGAUCCGCGCUGCAUUAGCUAGUUGGUAAGGUAACGGCUUACCAAGGCAACGAUGCAUAGCCGACCUGAGAGGGUGAUCGGCCACCCUGGAUGUGAGACACGGUCCGGACUCCUACGGGAGGCAGCCGUAGGGAAUCUUCCGCAAUGGGCGAAAGCCUGACGGAGCAACGCCGCGUGAGUGAUGAAGGUCUUCGGAUCGUAAGACUCUGUUAUUAGGGAAGAACAUAUGUGUACGUAACUGUGCACAUCUUGACGGUACCUAAUCAGAGAGCCACGGCUAACUACGUG